CCGCUGCGAGCAGCCCCGCAGGGCACAGGGUUCCUCGGCCCUCAUGGAAGAGCAGAGGGUGCAGCUUUUGCAAGGGCCUGGGGGAAACUGAGGGCACAGCUACAGGGGUGCAGUCACACCACCAUAGCGAUAGUGGUAUCCCUGCCCAUGUGGCUGUACCCCAAAAUGUGUCCACCGGGCAGGAGUUACACUGCAUAACUUGGGCAGUACCAGCAUGCUGAUUAUUGGAUGGAAAGUGCUGGACAAUGUGUUAAUUAUUAUGAUGAUGCUUCAUUGAACGAAAGAAGAAGGACUUAGGGAAAAGCUCAAGAACAGAACUCAUGAAGUUUCAUCACUGCUUUGGCCGUGUUGCUCGUACCAUCCUCUCUGUGCAGCUUAAUUACCACAGGGUCCAGACAUGCAGUGGCUACAGCAUCAAACUGGGGCACAGCAUUCAACGUCUCCACCUAGCACAUUAAUCCACUCCCUACAAAUGGCUGCAAUCCUUUGCUCCAGUACAUCACUGAAUAGCUCCUCAAGAAUUUCCCUGGGUGUUUAGCCUGACCUACCGAGAAGGAAGAGACAGACUUGUGGAUUGUGAAUGUUGGGAAUAUUCAGCACCGGCUAUAAAAAGAUUUAACUGUUCUCAAUGAAACCUCACUCCCCUCCUCCAAAUCCCUCCUUAAGACUCACUUAUCUUGACUAGCUUUCCAAUGCUAAUCUCAAUUCCAUCACCUCUUCCUUCUGACUGACUUCCUCAAACUAACAUUAUAUUUUAACUUACUGAAAAAAAAAGAGAAAAAAAAAGAGGAAGCAACAAGAUGCGAACACAAGAUUUUUGUAACUCUGGAGUAGUCUAGUUUUCUCCCGACACAACCCUUUAUUUGUCAUUCUUUGAUUCAUUUUGGCUAAUCGAAGCUGUGACCUCACUAGCAUAUUUCUUUAAACUCUUCCAUUGUUGCAUUACCACUUAUGCAAUUCCACCGGUGGAAGCUACUGUAGGUUGAUCACCUGCCUUUUCACCACCGUAUUGUCUAACCCCUGCUUGCAGUAUGAAUGCUGAGCUAGUGAUCAGCACUAGUGCUUUCACUGUGGCUACCAUCAAUGGAUCUACACUGGUACUACAACAAUGGCAGAUUUAAGUGAAAUGCCUGUGUACACAAGGCUUUAGGGUCUGGGCUAGUGUGGUUUUGAGUACUUAUUGCAAGGUGUACAAUGCCCUCAAUUCCAAUUGACUUCUAUAGCAGUGAGAGUUCUGAGUACCUCACAGGGGCUGCUUACAACCUGUACACCUCAGUUUCUGUCUUCUCGAUUUGUCUGAAAAAUUCAUGACCAUCUAUCCUGCUGUAUGGAUACUAAUAACAACAGCAUAUCCUCCCUUCUGGUAUAAGUUCGAUGCUUGUUACAUUUCUCAUUGCGGUCUUUAUUGCUUGUGUCAUAUGUUCUGUAUUCAUGGAAGCUCUCUGGAUUUGUUCACAGGUAUCUGACCACUUGUCAUUAAGUAUAUACUCUUCUUAAAUCCCUCACUCACUUAAUAUUUUUUCAUCCUAACCCUUAAUGUUUCCCUAUCAGAAAUGAAUUACUGCUGGGUGAUGGUUACUUUGGAGAGUAUCUACUCCAAAGGAUUGAAAAUUUGGCGCAUCAGAGAUUCUCAGUUUAGUUUCUUCUUCUAGGAAAUGUCCUAACAGUAAGAACUUAAAGAAGUGAGUUUGGGGGAUAUUAAAUUGUUCUCCAAUGGCAUUACACUGACAAAGUCUGAAUCCUAAGAUCUUUCCACUGUCUAAAAAAAAAUUCCCUGGAAAAUUUGAGAAAAUGGUAUUAUAUUCUUAAUAAUGAUUAGUGCUUGAGCACUUGACACCAAAUACUGACAGCAGUUCUUAUUCAUGUUUCUGUUAAUGUAGAGGGAGUGUGAUAGAGUGAGGAAGGGAUUGUUAGCUGAUAGAAAGGGGAAAGAGUAUACUUUCCUAAGGGGAGCUGCUGGCUGCUCAGUGUAUCAAAAUCAGGCCACUUAUUCAGGAGCCUAAAUAUGG
This is a long non-coding RNA of Mauremys reevesii (Reeves's turtle), 2009 nucleotides long. RefSeq lists it as uncharacterized. The transcript is spliced from 3 exons. The record is from RefSeq and is a predicted model, not a curated record. Lineage: Eukaryota; Metazoa; Chordata; Testudines; Geoemydidae.